UGGAAACGACUGCUAAGACUGGAUAGGAAGAUAAAAGGCAUCUUUUAUCUUUUAAAAGACCUAGUAAUAGGUAUGCUUUAGGAGGGGCUUGCGCCAUAUUAGUUAGUUGGUAGGGUAAUGGCCUACCAAGACGAUGAUGUGUAGCUGGACUGAGAGGUUGAACAGCCACAUUGGGACUGAGACACGGCCCAAACUCCUACGGGAGGCAGCAGUAGGGAAUUUUCGGCAAUGGAGGAAACUCUGACCGAGCAACGCCGCGUGAAUGACGAAGUACUUCGGUAUGUAAAGUUCUUUUAUCAAGGAAGAAAAGCAAAUGGCGAACCAUUUGUUUGCCGGUACUUGAUGAAUAAGCCCCGGCUAAUUAUGUGCCAGCAGCCGCGGUAAGACAUAAGGGGCAAGUGUUAUCCGGAAUUAUUGGGCGUAAAGGGUGCGUAGGCGGUCUAGUAAGUCAGUGGUGUAAUGGCAACGCUUAACGUUGUCCGGCUAUUGAAACUGCUAAACUUGAGUUAGAUAGAGGCGAGUGGAAUUCCAUGUGUAGCGGUAAAAUGCGUAAAUAUAUGGAGGAACACCAGAGGCGUAGGCGGCUCGCUGGGUCUUAACUGACGCUGAGGCACGAAAGCGUGGGGAGCAAACAGGAUUAGAUACCCUGGUAGUCCACGCCGUAAACGAUGAGUACUAAGUGUCGGGUUAAACCGGUACUGAAGUUAACACAUUAAGUACUCCGCCUGAGUAGUACGUACGCAAGUAUGAAACUUAAAGGAAUUGACGGGACUCCGCACAAGCGGUGGAUCAUGUUGUUUAAUUCGAAGAUACCCGAAAAACCUUACCAGGUCUUGACAUGUUUUUGCAAAAUGAUAGUAAUAUCGUGGAGGUUACCAGAAACACAGGUGGUGCAUGGUUGUCGUCAGCUCGUGUCGUGAGAUGUUAGGUUAAGUCCUAAAACGAGCGAAACCCUUAUCGUUAGUUGCCAGCACGUUAUGGUGGGGACUUUAACGAGACUGCCAAUGAUAAAUUGGAGGAAGGUGAGGAUCACGUCAAAUCAGCAUGCCCCUUAUGACCUGGGCUACAAACGUGAUACAAUGGCUGUUACAAAGGGUAGCUGAAACGCAAGUUCUUGGCCAAUCCCCAAAAACAGUCCCAGUCCGGAUUGAAGUCUGCAACUCGACUUCAUGAAGUUGGAAUCGCUAGUAAUCGCGAAUCAGCAUGUCGCGGUGAAUACGUUCUCGGGGUUUGUACACACCGCCCGUCA
This 1249-nucleotide ribosomal RNA is filed under the name Echinacea witches'-broom phytoplasma. RNAcentral describes it as "bacterial SSU rRNA". It matches the Rfam family "Bacterial small subunit ribosomal RNA", at positions 151 to 1399 of the family's 1533-position model. The record is from RNAcentral. Lineage: Bacteria; Bacillati; Mycoplasmatota; Mollicutes; Acholeplasmatales; Acholeplasmataceae.